GACGAACGCUUGCGGCGUGCCUAAGAAAUGCAAGUCGAGCGAGGUUUAGGCUUCGGCCGACGACCUAGCGGCGAACGGUCGCGUAACACGUAAGCAACCUGCCCUAAAGUUGGGGAUAGCCCGCCGAAAGGCGGAUUAAUACCGAAUGUGGAUAUGAUUUCGCAUGUGAUUAUAUCUGAAGCAGCGAUGCGCUUUAGGAUGGGCUUGCGACCUAUCAGUUAGUUGGUGUGGGUAACGGCCUACCAAGACGACGACGGGUAGCUGGUCUGAGAGGAUGGUCAGCCGGAUUGGGACUGAGACACGGCCCAGACUCCUACGGGGGGCAGCAAUUAGGAAUCUUGCGCAAUGGGCGAAAGCCUGACGCAGCGACGCCGCGUGACUGAUGAAGUCUUUCGAGAUGUAAAGGUCUUUUGUUGGGGACGAAGGAAGUGACGGUACCCGACGAAUAAGCCCCGGCUAACUACGUG
RNAcentral lists this ribosomal RNA (467 nucleotides) under uncultured bacterium. RNAcentral's name for it is "bacterial SSU rRNA". It matches the Rfam family "Bacterial small subunit ribosomal RNA", at positions 28 to 507 of the family's 1533-position model. The record is from RNAcentral.